AGGGUUUGAUUCUGGCUCAGGAUGAACGCUAGCGACAGGCUUAACACAUGCAAGUCGAGGGGCAGCGGUGUUGGAGGCUUGCCUUCAACAGCCGGCGACCGGCGCACGGGUGAGUAACACGUAUGCAACCUGGCCGUCACAGGAGGAUAACCGGUAGAAAUGCCGCCUAAUACUCCAUGACACCGAGUAGGGACAUCCCUUCCUGGUCAAAGGAAUUUAUUCCGGUGACGGAUGGGCAUGCGGCGCAUUAGCUAGUCGGCGGGGUAACGGCCCACCGAGGCGACGAUGCGUAGGGGUUCUGAGAGGAAGGUCCCCCACAGUGGAACUGAGACACGGUCCAA
This 341-nucleotide ribosomal RNA is filed under the name uncultured bacterium. RNAcentral describes it as "bacterial SSU rRNA". It matches the Rfam family "Bacterial small subunit ribosomal RNA", at positions 8 to 334 of the family's 1533-position model. The record is from RNAcentral.